ACUCCUACGGGAGGCAGCAGUGGGGAAUAUUGCACAAUGGGCGCAAGCCUGAUGCAGCCAUGCCGCGUGUGUGAAGAAGGCCUUCGGGUUGUAAAGCACUUUCAGUCGUGAGGAAGGUAGUGUAGUUAAUAGCUGCAGUAUUUGACGUUAGCGACAGAAGAAGCACCGGCUAACUCCGUGCCAGCAGCCGCGGUAAUACGGAGGGUGCGAGCGUUAAUCGGAAUUACUGGGCGUAAAGCGCAUGCAGGUGGUUUGUUAAGUCAGAUGUGAAAGCCCGGGGCUCAACCUCGGAAUAGCAUUUGAAACUGGCAGACUAGAGUACUGUAGAGGGGGUUAGAAUUUCAGGUGUAGCGGUGAAAUGCGUAGAGAUCUGAAGGAAUACCGGUGGCGAAGGCGGCCCCUGGACAGAUACUGACACUCAGAUGCGAAAGCGUGGGAGCAAACAGGAUUAGAUACCCCGU
RNAcentral lists this ribosomal RNA (461 nucleotides) under uncultured bacterium. RNAcentral's name for it is "bacterial SSU rRNA". It matches the Rfam family "Bacterial small subunit ribosomal RNA", at positions 335 to 790 of the family's 1533-position model. The record is from RNAcentral.